GAUGAAGAACGUAGCGAAAUGCGAUACGUAAUGUGAAUUGCAGAAUUCAGUGAAUCAUCGAAUCUUUGAGCGCACAUUGCGCCUGCCAGCACUCUGGCAGGCAUGCCUGUUCGAGCGUCAUUUCAACCAUCAAGCCCUAGGCUUGCGUUGGAGCCCUGCGGCUGCCGCAGGCCCCUAAAAGCAGUGGCGGGCUCGCUAUCACACCGAGUGCAGUAGAUUACUCUUCGCUCAGGGCGUGUGGCGGGUUCCAGCCGUGAAACCCCCUACUUCUCAAGGUUGACCUCGGAUCAGGUAGGAAUACCCGCUGAACUUAAGCAUAUCAAUAAGCGGAGGA
Molecule: unclassified non-coding RNA, 334 nt
Filed under: soil metagenome
Description: partial contains 5.8S ribosomal RNA, internal transcribed spacer 2, and large subunit ribosomal RNA
Rfam family: 5.8S ribosomal RNA (bases 1-120)
Source: RNAcentral